Long non-coding RNA from Dromaius novaehollandiae (emu), 797 nucleotides. RefSeq lists it as uncharacterized. Lineage: Eukaryota; Metazoa; Chordata; Aves; Casuariiformes; Dromaiidae. The transcript has 4 exons. The record is from RefSeq and is a predicted model, not a curated record.
AAACAAAUAUAUGAAGCUCUAUGUCCUCACAUCCCAGAAAGUCAUCUUAAAUUUUGAAGUCAAGUGUCCUAAAGGACAGAACUAGAACACACCGAGCUAGCAAGGCCUUCACUGUCAAGCUGCAAAUGAACAAGGUUGACAUCUCCCUGAAUAUCUGGAAUGCAAGCAAAAAUGACAGAAUUACAUAUGACGAAAAAAAUCUGUACAUACAAGAUCUUCAUCCCUGUUUUGCAGGCAUACUUUAAGUUGUUUGGAUAAAGAUCAAAAAAGGAGCCAUACCUACAGAUGCAGGCCAUACUUUGGAGCCAUGUAAUGCAACAAGAAUCCGGUGUCUAGAAACCAUGACCUGGGAAAGGAUUGUCAGCCUGCAGAAGGAAAAAGACAGGGCAGUCUUCAAACACUUGAAGGGCAGCUGCAAAGAAGCAGUCAACUCCAACCAAAAAAAAAGAUCAGCAAAUCUGAAAAUGUGGGAGCAGAAUAAGAAUACAGCAAAGAAUGGUAAGAAUGGAAAAGCUAAGAUGCUAUCCAAAUUUGAUUGUUAAAGCCUUUUUGCCACAGAAAACUCUGCUAAUUACUAUUCUUUACCGAGGCUUCAUUAGUUAAAUUUCAAUUGUUAUACCUGUGAAAUCAAUUAUGUAACCUGUAAAUCUGAAUUACAUUGUUAUUUCAGAUAACGUAAUGUGUGAUCAUCUUCUAAUGCCUCAAAUCAGUGAAACAUUUUUUCUAAUUUUUCAGUUGAUCAGAGCUGAAGACACUUUGAAUAUAGUGUACUAUUGAUACAUUUUAAUAUAACUGAA